AGAGUUUGAUCCUGGCUCAGAUUGAACGCUGGCGGCAGGCCUAACACAUGCAAGUUGAGCGGCAGCGGGAAAGUAGCUUGCUACUUUUGCCGGCGAGCGGCGGACGGGUGAGUAAUGCCUGGGGAUCUGCCCAGUCGAGGGGGAUAACUACUGGAAACGGUAGCUAAUACCGCAUACGCCCUACGGGGGAAAGCAGGGGACCUUCGGGCCUUGCGCGAUUGGAUGAACCCAGGUGGGAUUAGCUAGUUGGUGAGGUAAUGGCUCACCAAGGCGACGAUCCCUAGCUGGUCUGAGAGGAUGAUCAGCCACACUGGAACUGAGACACGGUCCAGACUCCUACGGGAGGCAGCAGUGGGGAAUAUUGCACAAUGGG
This 373-nucleotide ribosomal RNA is filed under the name uncultured bacterium. RNAcentral's name for it is "bacterial SSU rRNA". It matches the Rfam family "Bacterial small subunit ribosomal RNA", at positions 8 to 375 of the family's 1533-position model. The record is from RNAcentral.